RNAcentral lists this ribosomal RNA (436 nucleotides) under Filistata insidiatrix. RNAcentral's name for it is "partial 16S ribosomal RNA". It matches the Rfam family "Archaeal large subunit ribosomal RNA", at positions 1911 to 2671 of the family's 2987-position model. The record is from RNAcentral. Lineage: Eukaryota; Metazoa; Arthropoda; Arachnida; Araneae; Filistatidae.
UUCUUAAUGAAAUAAUAUUAAGUAACUCCUGCUCAAUGAAUUUAAAUAGCCGCAAUUUUAUGUGCUAAGGUAGCAUAAUCAUUAGCCUUCUAAUUAAAGGAUAGAAUGAAUGGAAAUUCGCGCCUGUCUUUGUCUCCUAAUAAAUAGAUCAAAUUAAUACUAAUGUAAAAAAGCAUUAAUUAAAUAGCAAGACGACAAGACCCUAAUGAAUUUAACAAAGUUUUACUGGGGCGGUAGAUUAAAUAAACCUUAUAACCCUACUAUAACAAAAAGACCUUAAAAUUUAAAUUUUAUGAACAAAUUACCAUAGGGAUAACAGUGUAAUCCAUUUUAAGAGCUCUUAUCCUAAAAUGACAUUGCAACCUCGAUGUUGAAUAAUAACCUAGCAAAAGCAAAAGUUUUCUAAGGACGUCUGUUCGACCUUUAAAUAAUUACA